CCGGGUUGCUGCGCUGUGGGAACCACCACUUGAGGCUUCGUUUGGCUGCUGGCUGGGCUUUUUGCCUUUGGCUCGGAGGAGCUCAGAAGUUGAACAUCCCUUAUUUUGGCUGCUGAUCCUUUAUUUUCGAGGCUGCUGGUCCCUUAUUUUCAAAUCUGUAAGUUGACAGCUAUGGGAGGCACACAGGGCAGGACCUCCAAAGCGGAGCUCAAUUUUCACAUAAAACUGCAUAUUUACCUCAAAGUAAGGAUUUCUAAACAUACUUUAAUCUAAAACAGCGUUUCCCAAACUUAGGUUCUCCAGCUGCUUUUGGACUACAGUUCCCAUCAUCCCCGAGCACUGUUCCUGCUAGCUAGGGAUGAUGGGGAGUUGCAUUCCAAAAACAGCUGGAGACCCAAGUUUGGGAAACACUGAUCUAAAACAAGGAGGGAGAACUUGCAGCCUUCCAGAUGUUGUUGGACUCCAACUCCCAUCAGCCCCAGUCAGCGUGGCGGAUGGACAGGAAUGGUGGGGGUUGUAGUCCAAAACAGGGACAGUCAAUAUGGCAGCUUUCGGCUGUCACUGAAUGCCAACUCUCAUCAGCCCCAACCAGCAAGACCACAUAGAUACAUUAAAAGGGGGAAAUAAAUACAGUGGUACCUCAGUUUUCGAAUGCCUCUGUAGUCGAACGUUUCGGAAUUUGAACGCCAAAAACCUGGAAGUAAGUGCCUUGGUUUUCAAACGCACCUUGGAACUCGAACAGGAAACAUGGCUUCCGUUUUGAGUUUUCCUUAUUGAGGCUUGCGUUUUGAGGCUUCUGCUUUUCGAACGUUUCAGAACUCGAACGGACUUCUGGAAUCAGCUUACGUUCAAAAACCGAAGUACCACUUUACAUUGAAAACAUCCCGACCACUUCUAAAAUGCCACGGAUAGUUAAAGGCUUCCUUAACGGAGGAAAGUUUUUGCCUUGCAUCUAUAAUGAAGGGCCAGGCAAGCCUCCCUGGGGAGAGCGUUCCACAAACAGAGCAGAAAAAGCCCCAUUCUUGUGUUGCCACCGUCCGGACUAGAGAUGGGAAGACCUGGAAAAAAACUGGAAAAAUUUGGGGGGGACCCAGGUUUUUUCCUUUUCCCCCCAAAGCCGUUUCCCCCCUGAAAAUUUGAAAAAAAUAGUUUGAUAUAGUUUGAAUAUUCCACACAUUAUUCCCCCCCCUCAAAUUUUCCUGAAAAAAAAGGCUUUGGGAAAAACCCGAAAAAACCCUGUCAUCCCCUCCCCCCAAUGUUUCUGUUUUUCCCCCAGACCUUCCAGCACCCACACUUUGGAGCUCUUGCUGUAGGUGCUCUCACUGUACUCUUUCUGGCAACUUCUCAAAACAUUUUCAUUAGGGCCAUCCCAUCUGAACACGUAUGUAGAAGCUGCAUGCGAUUUACUUCCUUUUAACCACUGCUGACCUUAAUCAUCUUUUGAAUACUCUUAAAUACCUGCUUUUAACUAUUUUAUCAAUCAUUUUAAUGUUCUGUUGUAUAUUUUUGCCAACUAUUUAGAAAGCUCUCUUACUAUCAUGUGGUUUAUAAUAUAUAAUAACAAAUUCAAUUUAAAAAACACACACACUCAUUUUCCUUUCAAAGAGAGUUUGAGCCUUAGUGCAACGUACUAUUCAGUAACUGGAUGUUGGUUACUUCUGGGCCUGGCAUGCAAAAAAUUUGCCUUAUGCUUUGCCCCGGCUGUCCUCAAGUAGAGAUGGGAAGGCCUGGAAAAAACACAGAAAAAUUGGGGAAAAAACAGGUUUUCCCCUGGGUUUUUCCAAAGCCAUUUUCUAGAAGUCCAUGAGAAAAAUGACAAAGAGGAAGAGGAAGAAGAAAUUGAAAAUGAUAGCAGUAGUUCAGAAAAUGAGAUAGAAUAAACUGCAUGUAUAAGUUGUGUCUUGGUUUGUUUUUGGUUUUUUUAAACACUACUCAAAGGGUAGACCUUCUAUGGAGCUUCAAUAUUGAGGUGGACCUUAACUUUAUUUGCUGUUGGUGCUAAGGGGCAAAUGUGAUUAUUUUUUAUGUUGAUGGUUUCUUGCUUUUUUGUUGCUUUUGAGGGAAACUGGGGUGGUUACCUGUUUUAUUGCAAAUAUAAUACUUUUAUAUACACUGCAUUUCAUGCAAUUUGUAAAACUGCUCCACACUGAACUUUUUUCAAUUUUUCCAAAAUUUCUAUUUUUUCUGGAAAAAAACGGUGGGGGGGGGGAUCCCCCCCCAUUGCUUUGAAAUUUCCAGAACGUUUACAUCUCCACUCUGGACCUCUCGUGGACGAGUCCCACAAAGAUCUGAAAACUAAGAUGCAGAUGAUGCUGGUCGCUAGGUUGCUGUCAAGGCAAACUAAAUUUGAUUUGCUCAUUCUAAGUGUGCUCUGAUCUAUUUUAGCUAUUUUUUUGUAACUAGGUUGUUUUGAUUACUUUGUGUUUUGCAGUGGCAUUUUUAAGUGUUGGAAGGCUACCUUGAAUCCCAACUUGGGAGAAAGGCGGGAUAGAAAUACCAUAUUUUUUGCUCUAUAAGACUCACCUUUUCCCUCCUAAAAAAUAAGGGGAAAUGUGUGUGCGUCUUAUGGAGCGAAUGCAGGCUGCACAGCUAUCCCAGAAGCCAGAACAGCAAGAGGGAUUGCUGCUUUCACUGCGCAGCGAUCCCUCUUGCUGUUCUGGCUUCUGAGAUUCAGAAUAUUUUUUUUCUUGUUUUCCUCCUCCAAAAACUAGGUGCAUCUUAUGGUCUGGUGCGUCUUAUAGAGCAAAAAAUACAGUACAUUAAACAAAUAAAUAAACUUUGGUUGCUCCGCCCCCUUUCCUCUGGCUCCGCCCCCCGCUGGCAUGCGGCCCCCGGAAGGAGGGAACGCGGCUCUUUGGCCAUCCCCAGUCUUUUUGUUCUCCUAGCCCUUUGUUGCUUGUUAGAAACCGCUGGAUCUUUCCCUCUGAUUUCAUAUCUUUGAAUUCCCUUUCUUUUAUUGUUCCUGACCUACAGCCUGCUUAUACCAGCCAAUCUCCGUUCAAUUGAUUCUCUUCCUCUUUAAAAAUAAGCACACAAAACAAAACAAAAAAAAUCCCUCUAAGACUCAUUUAUUUCAGCUGGCCUUUGUCUAAUUGUUUUUCACCUUCUCUUCCUCUUGCAGCUUUCCCAUUUAUUUUUAGUUUCGUUUCUCAUUACAGGUCUGUGGGGCAGGAGUUUUGUACACCACUUGGUUUGGGUGGAUUUUUAUUUUUUUUAAAUGUGCUUCAUUAUAUAUAAUUUUAAUCUCACUCCUUGGCUAGGAAAAAGCUCCCAUAGCGAUAUACAAAGAUUGGAAAUAGGGGGUUGUAGCCAACUAAGUUCUACUCAGAGUAAAUCCAUUGAAAUUAACGGACCUGGAGUAAUCAUCUAACAUGGGAUACAACCCAAUUUAUUUUCUGCCCUCAGGCUUUCAAAUGGAAACAAAGUCAUGGCAUUAGAAGAAACGUGGUUUGGGAGGGAGGAGGAAAAAGCAAGAGAAGAAGAAGAAGAAGAGGAGGAGUAGUAGUUUGGAUUUGAUAUCCUGCUUUAUCACUACCCUAAGGAGUCUCAAAGUGGCUAGCAAUCUCCUUUCCCUUCCUCCCCAACAAGAAACACCCAGUGAGGUGAGAGACUUCAGAGAAGUGUGACUAGCCCAAGGUCGCCCAGCAGCUGCAUGUGGAGGAGCAGGGAAUCGAACCUGGUUCACCAGAUUACGAGUCCACUGCUCUUAACCACUAUACCACACUGGCUCUCAGUGAGUAAACCCAGGCACCAUUUCUGUGUUGCAAAAUUCUGUGUUGCAAAAUUCAGCAGAACAACAAACAAACCUAUGGUCACGUAAAGCAUACUCAAUAAACACACAAGACUGUAAAAUGUGUGAGAUCAUGAUAUUGUAUUUAUUUGCAUUACUUAGAGCUUUAGGUACUGAUGAAGCCCAGGAUGGCGAAACAAGGCCAAUAUUCCAGAAAUCCUUGUCUAGAUUCUGCGUAAGGAUUUUGUGGAACUGUAACAACCUUUCAUGUGGAUUUUUUGGACUUUACGAACAGACAGAUGGAAUAGACACCAUUACACGGAUGGACCUUAUGCAUGAACUGACUAAAGAAUGAUCCUAUCCACUGGGUCUUCUGCUUUGUUUGUUUGUUGAACUUUAUGAGUUACUUCCAUUGAAAUUUAUAAUUUGAUACUAUGAACAGUAUGCCUUAUUUAUCUAAGAACACAGCUGGUUACGUCUUGUGUGUUUAUUGAGCAAAAUUCAGCAGGGCAAGGAGCAGGAUCUAAGCACAGUGCAAUAGCGGCUGUUUCUUUCCCUCAAGGAUGGCAGCCUUUGGUCAGAGGAAAGUCUCCGAAAUGCGAAUGAUGAGAGGACUCGCGUAAACUUGAUUCAGAAUCUGCUUGGUAUUUCUGGCCUUUCUUGGAUAAGCCUUAGGGAAAGCCAAGAGCUCUCCUGCCUCGCAGUGUUGGCCCCAGUGCGGUGAGGGCGCCAUGGGCAUGCUAAAGCUGGGCACUGGAUUUGGCUGAGCCCCAAGCCCACCAGGCCCAUUUGCAGGGAUUUCAGGCAUUGGGGGAUGGCCACAAAUCUCUCUGAGUUGAGAUGGAAGUCCCAGAGUGACCCAGGGCCAUCAAGGGGCAGGGCAUCAGGCAGGAAAACCCACAAAAAAUGUUGGCACCGACCUGACCACCACCUGCAUCUUCUCAGAAGGUAGGAACACACCACCGCCUGGCCCACCUUCCUGCCCAAUGCCCAAACCCUGCCCAAUCCUGGCAGGGCAGGCUCUUACUUUCAACCAAGUUUCCCACAGAGAAGCAAAACCAAGAGAGAGAGAAGUUCCUGCAUUGCAGGGGGUUGGACUAGAUGACCCUUGGAGCCCCUUCCAACUCUAUGAUUCUGUGUUUCUCUCCAACAGCCUAUGGAAAGCCCAAUGCAUUUUGGAGAAAUUCCUUCAUCAGGGGCAUUUUAAAGAGAAACAGGUAUGGUAUAUGGAAUUUUAAAAAUAAUAUUUCAAACAAUUUGGGGGGGGGUGACACCUAAGAGGGUUAGUUUCCUGUAUGGAGGUGAAUAGGGUAAUGUAACCAUGCCUGUAUAUAUGCGUUUUCAAGACAUUUGUUUCAUUUUGCAUAGAUUUUAAGAGCCUGUUAGUACUUCUGCAUGUGUUGUUAUGUUACAGUUAAAUUGUUUGAAAGAUUAUUUUUAAAAAAUCAGUAUAUAAAGCUCUUUUCAAGAUACCCCCGAUGAAGGAAUUUCUCUGAAAUGCGUUGGGAUUUUAAUAAAUAGCUUGCGGCACUUCUAUCCCCCUUGGUUUUGCUGGUUGGUGCCGUGCCUUCCCUGCUGUUGGUUUCUCCACAGAGAAGCCACUUGCGAAGGAAAACCCUGCAGGAUUGAACCCCCUGCUGUUGCUUGGGGGGUGCGGAAACGAAACACAGCAUCUCCUUCCCCUGCCCCCCUCCUAACCUUAAGUUUAAUCAGGUGUUUUCUUUACCCUAAAUCCCUGCCCCAAACUAAUUCCGGACUGGAUCUUGUGGGGCACUAUUGCAGUCAAACCAACAAGUCAUGCUUUGCCAGAUGGGCACAUGAAGGGGCUGAAGUUCACAGAACUUUCCUGUAAAAUUUGCUAGAGAGAACUCUGUGAGAUCACUUCCUCUGUCUGCUCUGGCAGGGAACUGUAACACUACAUACAGUACAGUCAUACCUCAUGUUGCGUUUGCUUCAGGUUGAGCGAUUCAGGUUGCGUCCCGCAGCGACCUGGAAGUACCAGAAAGGGUUACUUCCGGGUUUCGCCGCUCACGCAUGUGCAGACGCUCAAAAUGAUGUCACGUGCAUGCGCAGAAGCGGCGAAUCACAACCCGUGCAUGCGCAGACCAUGACACCUCCUUGGUGAAGCCCCACCACUGCAGAGAUUCCUCCUAUGUCCUCUCUUCCUGUUUUUGGGCUGUCAGCUUUCUACCGAUAACCAGCUGUUUUAUUCCAAUAGCCCCAGUUGGGCGAAAGGAAUGGAGAGGAAUUUCGUCUCCUUUGCAUUUUAAAGCCAACAAGCAGUAUAGCCAACAAUAAUCUGCAGUUCACAGAAUUUGCAACAAACAAUCGGAUUGCGCAACUCUCUGACUUUUUGCUAUGCAGUUUUGGUUCAAAAAUCUCUUGCGGGGAAACGCAUACCAAAACUGUGUGUUCUAGGGAAUGCACAGAAAAGGUGUAUUUUAGGAGAAGAGAAAACAGCAACCAGGCUUUCCAGUUAUCCAAAACUUUUCAACAAGCUGGAUAUGAAACACAAUAUUCCCAACAGUUUGGGGGUGGGGGUGCGAGGAACGGGGGGGGGGAGGAAAAGGCUGGCAGAGGGAACAGCUGCUCAGUGGGAAAGAUGGGAUGUGACUGCCAGGGUAAACUCAGUGGAGGCUGCUCUGGAAGGGCAAACGGGGCACUGCCCCACAAACCUCAGUUUGCCCUCAGUCAGCUCCCACUUGCCUGCCUUCUAAAUGGCACACAGUCCAAGGAGUGGCCCUGCCUGCCAGUUUCCUCCUCCUUACUCGGUUGUUGCCCAUUUAAAACUUAGCAGAGAGGAGGAAGUAGACGCAACCAGAAUUAGGUGGCUCUGCCUAUUGCUGAUUCUGGCUCUAGCGCCAUCUACUGUUGGGCUCCCUGCCUUCCCGCCCAUCAGUCCUAAUGGAUACCAGCCACCACUGCCUAGAAACUUAAAUUGUCACCACGAGACUGGCAACGUUCAAUGGCAAUGCUGUGUGUCUGUUGGGAGCAAUGGAUAACUGUGGGAGGGAAAUGGAAUGGAGUAUUCUGGGAAAGGAGCACUGUGCCCUGAAACUGCCAGGCUACAACAGAGAGAGGGAGAGGGAUAUGGUGCUGCAGGGCCUUACGGUCAGCUCAACUCAGAGACCGGCGACUUUGGGCUCCUCUUCUCCUGAAGAACUCCAUGCAAGACUCCAUGACUAAGAAGAAACAUCCUUGUUUGAGAGAGCGAGCAGAAGAUAAAGUGUACUGAAACACAGUAAAAUGUGAUUUAAAUGGUUUCCCACUUUGAAAACUAAGCUAGCAUAUAAAUAUUCUAAGUAAAUAAAUACGGUCUUCUUGUAAACGCUUCAUAAUGCGUUUUUUCGGGUUAAGAAGGCGGCAAACCCAGAAGUGUUUACUUCUGGGUUUUGCUGUGUGCGCACACGCAGAAGCGUUCUGCGCGGUUCACGCAUGUGCAGAAGUGCUCUAUCGCGCUUUGCACAUGCGCAGAAGUGCCACUCUGGUUACUGACUUUUCAGGGUGCGAACAGCACCCCAGAACGGAUUGUGUCCACAACCAGAGGUACCACUGUACGAGGGAGUGCCUGGGUUUGUUUCCUCCCUCCUCCCUCCUCCUCCCUCUUUCCUUUUGUGUCAUGUCUUUUAGAUUAUAAACCAACAGUCAGGGGUCAUCAUGGAAAAGCGCGCGCGCGCGCGCACACACACACACACGUGUAUAUAUGUGUGAUAGACACACACACAUAAUACACAUUUAUACAUACACCAGUGUGGUAUAGUAGUUUGAAUGUCAGACUAGGGCCUGGGAGACUGGAAUUCAAAUCCCUGCACAGCCACUUCCUGCUGGCUUCUGGUGUUUUUCAGGCCAUGACUGCUGCCUGCAAUAUGGCUUGCCUAGAGCAGCUGCUUGAAGCCAUCGCCGUGCCAGAAGGUGGAGGGUGGGGGGAGGCCAGAAGACCCGCGGAACAAGAUUUCCUGCGGGAGCCUUGCCGUUUGACUCUGCUCCCGUCUUGCGGUUCCUCCGGAGCACAAUUCCAGACAAGCGUGGCGUGAAGCGAGCCUGGGGGUUCUUUGAUACGCUGCUCCGAGGGAAGCCUCCGGAGAGACGCUUUCAAAGCCGGCAGCUUAGCUCCCUUCGGAUGGUUUUGCCUUUCAUCCGGAAGAUGGCAGGAAGAGAGAGAGUGAGUUGUGGGGGGAACUUAAGUGGAAACGGGGAAGGCUGAUGCCUGUCUGUUCUCCUUGGGCAGGGGAGAGAGGCUUUUGGGAAGAGAAAGGAGGCCUUUGCGGAUACGGCACUUGCAACACGGGGCCCCGUAUGCACCAUAUGUUUAAAGCGGUGUCAUACCACUCUGCACAAUAGUCACGGUUCAUAAACUCCAACAUGUCCAGGGGGUAAAAACAGGAUCCCGCCCCCCCCCCCGUGCGAGAUCGCACAAGAUCAUGCCACCUAAAAUGGCUACCAUGCUCUCGUAUGGAGAAGCAGGAUGUCCCAGUUUUACCAGGACAGUUGCAGAGUAUGAUGGUUUCCCUUAGAGAAUCAUGGGAAUUGUAGUUCCUUAAAGGUGCUAGUUGCAGAGAGGUUUAACAAUACAGUGGUACCUUAGCUUUCGAGAGUCUCGGAAGCUGAACGUUUUGGUUUAUGAACGCUGAAAACCCGGAAGUAAAUGCUUCUGUUUUUGAACACGCCUCGGAAGUCGAAUGGCUUCCACUGCGUUUCUCCCCAAUUUUAUCCAUUGAAACUGCAGACCGCUCUUUGCGCCUCAGUUUUCGAAUGUUUUGGAAGCCAAACAGUCUUCCGGAAUGGAUUACGUUUGAAAACCGAGGUACCACUGUAAUUCCCUCUUCCCAGGGAAUUACAGUUCCCAAGAUUGUUUGGGGAAAGCCGUGGCUGCUCAAAGCAGUGUAAUACUACUUCAAGUGUGUUGUGUCGCUGGGGCAGACACAACCUGUCCACUCAAAUUCUACAGAAAUUAUUUCUCCAGGGUCACCAAUGCAUCAUCCACAGGCACCAGUGUACCUGACAGGACCUUCUGUACCUGCCCAGGAAGGGUCUCACUAAAUGUUCCCUCAAAAAUCCACAAUUCAUGGGAGACCAUUUGCACUUUCUGCUCAGUUCCUGCUUGCACCAGCUUGACAUUUCCUAGACUGAACACGCCCCCCUGGAUCAUGCCCACAUUUCAUUUGUUGCCAGGCUGGGCACCAUCCAUCCUUGGUUCUGAGCAAAGGAGAAGUUCAAAGAGCCUCUCUGUGAACAAACAUGCCAGUGGCUGAUGGAGGUGCCUUUCUCUCCCCAUUGAUGGGGGAGGGCCUAUCCAUACCAUUUUGUGGCCAUGUCUCUCCCUCACUGCAGUUUUCAAUAUGGCAGUUAUUAUGCCAUGCCCACCCCCAAUCACCACUUUGUGUUUUGCCACACCCAGAGCAGCCAUUUUGUGGUAUGCCACACACCCCAUGGCGGCCAUUUUGCAAAACCCAUGGCACUUUCUCAAGAUUACAAGUGUGCCCACUGGCUCAAAUAUUUAAGUGACUCCUGCUUUGUACUGUUCUUGUCACCCCAUAGGAAAACAGGAAGCUGGCUUAUCUUGUCCCAGUGGAAUCCAUACAAAUUCAUCCAUGUAGUCCAUCCACACACAGCCAUAAAACAGGAUCCUGCUUUUUCAGCUAGCGCAUGAAGACAGCACAUGGAGAAGGAAGGUGAUCUCUUACUUCACGAGUAGUGUGACCAGUGAGUGGCUACAGUGGCGUAGCAUGGGGGCACAGGGGCGGUUGCCCUGGGCACAAAAUUGUUCAGGGUGCAAAAUUUCACCACCCGUUGCUGCCUCAGUACAGCUGUUUGCUGGGCUCUGUUGAAAACAGCUUCUCCAUGUGAACCAGGAAGUGACUUCUCCAGACAACAGAACAACUCUUCUUUUCUUAUCUCUGUGGCUGGAAUCUCCUGGAUACCGUUAGGAAGUUGAAUGUGCAUACGUACUCCUUCUGUUUCCCUCUUUACAUGUGGCCCCGGGCGCUGGCAAGCCACGCUACACCACUGAGUGACUGCUACCCAUUGGGGCUGGUAGGACUGAAGACAGGGAGCUCACCAGUAGGUGGAGUGAGAGCAGAGCCAAGCCAUUCAAGUUGUGUCCCCAUCCUCCUCCUAAUCCUUGCUGAGUUCUACAAGGGGUGACACUGAGACUAAGGAUGAGGAAGCUGGCAGGCGGGGACACCCUCUGGGUUGAAUUCAACAUCAAGCCAGCUUUUCUCUUCCCUGCCUACUCCAGCCCUGCCUGCCACCCACUUCUGGGCACUAUAGAUAAGGCUUGGUGCAGGAAAGGUUUCCUUGCCCACAGUCUCCCUUAUCACUGUUCCUCUGCCAAGAGUGGAACAGCCUGUGUAUGGGACGACGUCCCUGCCCAGCCUGGCAGCCCUGCAUCCAUAAUUCUCUGCAUCCCCAAUUAAGUGGCCAAGCCCUGCUGUAAAAGCAAGAGAUGGGGAAUUAUUGAUCAGACAUGGCUGAGGCCGUGCCAAGUCCUCCCACUGCAGAUCUGCUGCCUCCUUUGCAGCAGCUUCUCGAAUCCCGGGGGAGGCUUCCCAUGCAGUCCAUAAGGAGUCACAACUCUACGGCGACAGCAGAAACCUCAGGCCUGACCGGGGGAUGUGGGAGAGAAUGUGGCCCUUGGAACCUCUCUGCCUGGCCCCCAAGACUCUCUUAUCCCAUUCUCCACAGGCCACACCCACUGCUGACCCUCUUUGCAUCCUCCUUGAGUGCUUUUGCCUGGCCUUGAACUCUGAUUGUGACUCUUCUGUGUCCAGAUCUGUGAUAGAGAGGUGGGGUGAGUAUGUGUAGGAACUAGCUGAUUGUGGCAUUCAUUUCUCUUGCUUCUGGCCCUCCCUUCCCACUGGCAUGUGGCCCCCAGCAGGUUUCCCAUAAGGGAAUGUCACCCCUGGGCUACAAAAGGUUCCCCACCCCUUGCUCUAUAGCCACUGAACUCCUCCUUUGCCACAAGGAAGACUGCCUAGAUGGAACCUUUGGGGGUGAGCAGCACUUUUGCUGCAGCAGCAAAAUUGGCUUUUUUUCUUUUCCUGCAGUGCCUUACUGCUAGGGCUGGGAUUAACCUCCUCUGCUAGGACUCACCUCUUUCAUUUGAGAAGUUCUUUAGUCUUGAAUGGAUCCCUGGACCACUUCAUCCUCACCCAUCCCCUUUAUGCUAUAGUGCGAUGCUACAGAAAUGUUCCAUGCUCAGAACACCGACGCUGGCAGUUCAUGAUGCUCACCUUAAAUAUAAAAGUUGACAAUUAAUGCCCCUGACUUCUUCUCCAGCUCAGACCCAGGGUUCUCUCCUUCACUUUCCUACGGCAAAAGUGAUCACUACAUGAUCACUCGGAAUGGGAAUAGGACUUGGUUUCUGCAGUGGCCCUGAUGCCUCUGUCUCUUCAGGGAAAGAUCACAAGGCCAGACUCCCUUUGACCUGAACUAGUAAUAUUACCAUCCUUGGCCUCUGAAGCCACUGCUAUGCCCCUUUAAGCGUCGAGGCCUCACUCAUAGAGUAUCAUAGAAUUGUGGAGAUGGAAAGGACCUAAGGAUCAUCUAGUCCAGGCAUAGGCAAACUCGGCCCUCCAGAUGUUUUGGGACAACAACUUCUACCACCCCUAGCUAACAGGACCAGUGGUCAGGGAUGAUGAUGAGAGUUGUAAUCCCAAAACAUCUGGAGGGCCGAGUUUGCCUAUGCCUGAUCUAGUCCAACCCCUUGCAAUGCAGAAAUAUGCAGCUGUCCCAUAUGGGGAUCGAAUAUGCAGCCAUGGCGUCAUCAGCACCACGCUCUAACCAACUGAGCUAUCCAUUAAUAGGAGUGGGGAACCUGUGGCCCUUCAAAUUUUGUUGUACUGCAGCACUUAUCAUCCCUGACCAUUGGCUAUACUGGCUGGGGCUAAUAGGACUUGGAGUGCAAUAACAUCUGGAGCUGUACAGGCUAAAGGAAGCUGAAAACCCAUUUAAGGCUCAGGCAGAAUUUGCUCACAAUGCUCAAGGCUUGCAGCCUCCACUGGGCGCUCUCCAUGGUGCUAACUCAUUUCCCACCUCCCUCCUACUUCUCUAACUUUGCAUGUAGGACCUGCAUAGACUACAAAGCAUGUGAUGCACUGUGACUGAGUGGGGAGGGAGGGAGGGAGGGAGAGAGAGAGAGAGAGAGAGAGAGAGAGAGAGAGAGAGAGAGAGAAGAGUAAGCAUGAUGCUGUAAUGGGUAUUGUAGCAAAGGCACAUUGAGACAACUAAGUCUCCCACACAUUUCAGCUCCAAAUUCACCUUCAGAACAAAAGGGUGCAUGUAACAAAACAAUCAUUCCAAAUAGGAGUGAUGCUGUUCAGGAUUCCAGUUAGCCACACCUUCUUUCAGGAUGUUCUAAGCUGUGAGGGGCUGAAGCAGGUGUUGUUUGUAGGGGUUGCCAGAUGCCCAUAUCAGAUGCCCAUGGGAGGUUCACAAGCAGAACUUGAGUGCCAGAACACUCUACCCACUUCUGAUUCCCAGCGAUUGGGAUUCAGGGGCCUCCUGCCUCUGAUAGUGGCGGGAGAACAUAGUAGCUAUUUUGGCUAUAGUCACUGAUAGCCUUAACCUCCAUGAAUUUGUCUAAUCCGUAGUUUAAAGCCAUCUGAGUUGGUGUCCAUCAUCAUCAGAAUCUGUGUCUGGCUGCCCCAUGUGGUGAAUCACAGAACUGCAAAUGGCAGCCUUCUUAGUGCAAAGAACCGUCCAGAUUGACUCCACCUGCCAGGGCUGAUCAUUAGAUGCUACUAGUCAGGGCUUCUUUUGCCAACUGAGCCUUCCUUAAGCAGCAUGUUCUUCCUGAGCUCUGGUCUGCUCCUGCAUCCUUAUGUGCACUCUCUCUCUCUCUCUUAGUCCUGCUGGUUUGCUGGCUUGAUCCUUGUCUCUGCCUCUGGGUUUCUCUUUCAGUUCUGCCUGGCACCUCAGCCAUGAUUCCUG
Podarcis lilfordi (Lilford's wall lizard) is the source of this 12661-nucleotide non-coding RNA. NCBI's taxonomy places the organism in Eukaryota, Metazoa, Chordata, Lepidosauria, Squamata, Lacertidae. The record is from the annotation of a GenBank genome assembly.